This 1707-nucleotide long non-coding RNA is filed under the name Fragaria vesca (wild strawberry). Its description in RNAcentral is "long non-coding RNA (FVES_LNC001266)". Lineage: Eukaryota; Viridiplantae; Streptophyta; Magnoliopsida; Rosales; Rosaceae. The record is from RNAcentral.
UCAUGAAGCAACAUCUAGUUAAUAGUGAGUUUUCAAUCAAAAAUUAACAUAAAAAUGGUAGUGACUUCACGAGUAUGAACUUUGUAAUAGAUAAUAGAAAUAUAUUCGACAUGUAUAGCAAUCCUCCAAAAUUUUAAUUUGGUCAAAUAAACUUGGUGUAAUGCAUUCGAAUAGAUUAAGUUAUGUGAGUUGAUUUCUCAAUGGAAGUUUCUACAAGAGUCACUCUACGAAAGGUCAUAUUCCUGUUUGCCCACGAACUAAGGCAAGUGAAAUUAAGAACAAUGAUAAACUAGCACUCAUAAUCUCGAGCUCUAACUUCACCUCCACAUCUAAUUAAAAAAGUUGUUUGAUCACUAAUACAGUAAUACAAUUACCUUUUGUUCAUUUCAUUUUUGUGUCGUUUAUAUAUUUACUUUUUAGCUAACCUACAACAUAGUUUGACAAUUGAAUCGGUUUUGUAGACUUAAAUAAUGUUAAAAUAGUAAGGCAAGAAAAAAAAAAUGCUAUGAGAAAAAAACCCAGACUGUCACAUGCCCUCCAUCGAUUCGGCAGGGCGCCAUGAUGGCGAUGUAGUCGGACGGGCCGGUUCUGAGAUCGUCGUUCUUCAACUGUUAUACACUGGGCCAAGUUGCGGUCUAUAGGUUCCUUUUUCUCGACAAGAUGGUGAGGAAGGUCAAAAUCUAUAAUUUCUGAAUCAUAAGUGUAAGGUACUCAAACUAGUUAUAUUCAGCUUUUCAUGUUUCAGUAUUUUCGUAAACCAUUUCGUAAAUACCUUUCGAGUUCAAAUUUAGACAUUUUGCUUUUAUGUCAUUUCAUAUGUUUAAGAAAAAAAAAAUUAAAGGAAAACAUUAAGAUCAAAGACAAUAUACUAGUAAACUGUAACCAAAAAAAAGAAGACAAUACUAGUAAACAACUAAACACAGUGAAAGAUAAAGAAAGGGUAAAAAAAAGAAAAAAGGGACAGUCAAAGAUAAUAAAACGGACAAAGGACCAAAGGUGCAGCGCAAUUAACGGUUUCCGAACGGGCCGGUCACCUUAUUUUCCGUAGUCCGUUACAGUACAACUGCCGUGACUCAUUUUACGGUCUUUUGUCCUCUGCUUCUUAUCAUGACGUGGCACUUUCCACUCUACUCUCCCCACCUCCCACUUUACCCCACGCGCCCAACUGCAUGUGUCUCACACUCUCACUCAAUUUGCACUCCCCACACAGCUCCGCGCGGCGUGUGAGCCUCACCCUCUACUUUUUUCGAGACGGAGAUAAAAAGUGACGAUUUUGGUGUUAGUCGUUUUUUUACUUUUAAAAGGGCGGUACGAUUUUAUCGGGGGAGGCAGGGGAAUCGGAAUCAAAACGCAAGUUGGUUGACAAAAAAAAAAAAAGUGGAGGAUGAAUCCACAAAGUAAGCUCGCAUUUUCGUUUCAAAAGCUUUGUCCACAUCAUGUAGUGUUGGUUAAGUUGCUUGAUUUUUUUUUGCCUGGUAAUAUGCUUUUGUUCUUGUGGUGCAACCUGACAUGGUGCAUCGUCAUCUUGCUAAUUAGGACGUACGGCAAAUAUUCUAAUGUCAUCUCAAAUCCGUAAAUUUAGAAUGAAAUUAUGAAAGUACUACUUCGUACGGAUAGUUACACAAUACGUUCGAUGAAUAUUCAUGAUUUCUUAAAAACUUAGGUUACAACCAAUACUCAGAUAUCAUAAGGUAAUUUCUGAUCAAA